RNAcentral lists this ribosomal RNA (424 nucleotides) under uncultured bacterium. RNAcentral's name for it is "bacterial SSU rRNA". It matches the Rfam family "Bacterial small subunit ribosomal RNA", at positions 356 to 771 of the family's 1533-position model. The record is from RNAcentral.
GGGGAAUAUUGCGCAAUGGGGGAAACCCUGACGCAGCGACGCCGCGUGGGUGAUGAAGGCCUUCGGGUCGUAAAGCCCUGUCGUAGGGGAAGAACCGGUGCACAGCUAAUAUCUGUGCGCCCUGACGGUACCCUACAAGAAAGCACCGGCUAACUCCGUGCCAGCAGCCGCGGUAAUACGGAGGGUGCAAGCGUUGUUCGGAAUCACUGGGCGUAAAGGGCGCGCAGGCGGCGCUGGAAGUCCUGGGUGAAAGCCCCCGGCUCAACUGGGGGAGGGCCUGGGAAACCACAGUGCUGGAGUGCUGGAGGGGGAAGCGGAAUUCCCGGUGUAGCGGUGAAAUGCGUAGAUAUCGGGAGGAACAUCCGAGGCGAAGGCGGCUUCCUGGACAGACACUGACGCUGAGGCGCGAAAGCUAGGGGAGCAA